This is a long non-coding RNA of Papaver somniferum (opium poppy), 650 nucleotides long. RefSeq lists it as uncharacterized. The record is from RefSeq and is a predicted model, not a curated record. Lineage: Eukaryota; Viridiplantae; Streptophyta; Magnoliopsida; Ranunculales; Papaveraceae. The transcript is spliced from 2 exons.
UAAGAAAUGAAAUGGGGAAUUUAAUUCCCAUCUUCUCCUCCCAUCUUUCUUCUUCUAUAAUUUCAGUUACAUACCAACACCAACAAUGUUUAAUUGUAUCGGCAUAGUACAUACAUGAGAAUCGCAUGAGAACACAACACGUUAUCAGCACGAAUAGCUCGAUGCCGCCUGUUCGACGGUGUUUAUGCCGAGCUACCGGGGAUGAUGCCCGCAAAGCCAUAUAAUCAACUUCACAAUUUAUAUUUGUGUCUUGAGUUGAAUUUGUGUUUUUUUUAAUAAUAUAUGUGGAUAGUAGUACUGACUCUGUUGCUUCUAUUGAUCAGGGUAGUAACACUAUUAAUGGCGGCAAGUUGUUCUACAAGUAUUGCAAACUUGUACGAAUGUUUUUGGGUAAGUGCGGGAAGAGAUUUUGAAACAAUUCCACCAGAAGCUGGAAUUUCGUCUAGCAUAGUAUAGAUGCAAAAGGCACGGUCCGCUAGCCAUUCGGUCCCAGAAGUGACCCGUUAUAAAAGUGCUAGUCGUUCCUAUUUGCGGUCCCUGAAGUGACCAAGUAGGAAACUUUUCUAUAAAAGAGUGUAUCCAUUUGUACGCUUGUAAAUUAAUAUUCCGUCGAUCCCGAGGGACGAAAAUGGAGAUUUAUUAUGUUGGUA